This 482-nucleotide ribosomal RNA is filed under the name uncultured bacterium. Its description in RNAcentral is "partial 16S ribosomal RNA". It matches the Rfam family "Bacterial small subunit ribosomal RNA", at positions 30 to 507 of the family's 1533-position model. The record is from RNAcentral.
AUUGAACGCUGGCGGCAUGCCUUACACAUGCAAGUCGAACGGUAACGGGCCUUCGGGUGCCGACGAGUGGCGAACGGGUGAGUAAUACAUCGGAACGUGCCCGAUCGUGGGGGAUAACGAGGCGAAAGCUUUGCUAAUACCGCAUACGAUCUACGGAUGAAAGCAGGGGACCGCAAGGCCUUGCGCGGACGGAGCGGCCGAUGGCAGAGUAGGUAGUUGGUGGGAUAAAAGCUUACCAAGCCGACGAUCUGUAGCUGGUCUGAGAGGAUGAUCAGCCACACUGGGACUGAGACACGGCCCAGACUCCUACGGGAGGCAGCAGUGGGGAAUUUUGGACAAUGGGCGCAAGCCUGAUCCGGCCAUGCCGCGUGCAGGAUGAAGGCCUUCGGGUUGUAAACUGCUUUUGUACGGAACGAAAAGCCUUCUUUUAAUACAGGAGGGUCAUGACGGUACCGUAAGAAUAAGCACCGGCUAACUACGUG